UGAACCCGGCGGCGCUGAGCAAAACAAAUCCUUUCCAAAAAUCUCAAAGAUCUGAUCAAACAAAAAUCUCCUGAUCAAAAUAUCAAUACGGGUUGUUGUUAUGAAUGGAAUUUUGGGUUUGUAUGGGAACUUUUGCACAUACCCUGGAUAUUAAAGAGAUCAAACCAUGAAUGGCACAAUGAUUUUUCCUCUCAUGGCUUCAAUUUUGUGUGGAGGUUUGAUUUCCUAAUAUGUCUUCUAUACUUGAUCUCAGCAUUUUAGGGAAAUCUUAGCUGGUUUGUAGGCUGAUGGAGCAGUUGAAUAUGUUUUCUUUUCAAAGGAAUAGGCCGCACCGAAUUAGAGAUCAAACAAGAAAAUAAACGAAAUAGGUAGGAAAUUAGCAUUAACUGGAAGCCUGUUGAAAAAGGAAAAUCAAGAUCAUAUAUUGGCUGGUCCAGUAGUUGUUUGGUUAUGGGUUAUUCCGUAACACAACCCUAUUUAUAAGAGUUGAAAGCAGUGCGAUUAGAUGUUCAGGUUGCUCUCAAGUACAAAUUCAGUUAGAUGAAACUUUAAUUCAAGGAAGUUAUUGAAGCUUGAAAUGCAGAAAUAACGUGGGAAAGCUGCACCUAAGGAAGGAAGGAAACCUGCUGUUAUACAUAACGACUAGAGGUGGUUUGAUUACUGCAAAGACGUGGUACUAGAAGACCACACCUCCACAGAUAAAUUAAAGCCAUGUUGUGCAUUUUGAGUUGAUAUAAGUCAAUAUAACUUGUUUUGGGAAAACAAAAAGGACUAAAUGUAAGUGUACGACUAUAAUUACAAGCGAUAUAUUAAUAAAUUCUAGUAAUAAAAUAAGUAAUAAGUUGAUUAUGAUAAGUGAAGCAUCACAACUUAUGGAAAUGGAUGAUAUUAUAGUAAAUUAUGUCAGUUUGGAUUUUGAUU
Molecule: long non-coding RNA, 921 nt
Organism: Papaver somniferum (opium poppy)
Lineage: Eukaryota; Viridiplantae; Streptophyta; Magnoliopsida; Ranunculales; Papaveraceae
Exons: 4
Source: RefSeq, a predicted model, not a curated record